GAAGAGCAAUUAAUUAAUAGAAAAGGACGGAAGAAAAUAUAGAAAUAUGAAGAACUCAGCCGGAGGAGUGACAGGUGGUUGCAAUGCUCUGUGCGGGUGCCCAGUUCCUUGCCCUGGCGGCAACUCGUGCGGAUGCAGAACAAGCUCCAAGAUGGAAGGAGAGGAGCAGCAUAGCAAGUGUUCUUGCGGGGAGCACUGUGGAUGUAACCCAUGCCGCUGCCAACAAGGAACAGAAGGCUCCGCCGGAGGAACGAUGAGGGUUGGGAAAGCUCACUGCAAGUGUGGCACUGGCUGCACCUGUCAAGCCUGCGCUGCUUAAUUAUAAUUAGUUAAUAUUAUAUACAACGAGAGUAAGAGUAUGUGUAUGUUUGUGCCUUUGUAUCCUACGUACCUUUACACUCGGUACAAAAGAAGCACAUGAAUAAAAAAAGGCAGGCUUGUAUAUCUACCUUAAAUAAAAUUUCUUUGUUUUCUCUUGCGUUUCUUUCAUUCCAGAGAUCGUUUGUUUCUAUGUUUUGU
This 519-nucleotide long non-coding RNA is filed under the name Linum usitatissimum (flax). RNAcentral describes it as "long non-coding RNA (LUSI_LNC005584)". Lineage: Eukaryota; Viridiplantae; Streptophyta; Magnoliopsida; Malpighiales; Linaceae. The record is from RNAcentral.